AGCUCCAAUAGCGUAUAUUAAAGUUGUUGCAGUUAAAAAGCUCGUAGUUGAACCUUGGGUCUGGGCUACCAGUCCGCCGUAAGGCGUGCACUGGAAACCCGGAUCUUUCCUUCUGGCUAACCUCAUGCCCUUUACUGGGUGUGCUGGGGAUCCAGGACUUUUACUUUGAAAAAAUUAGAGUGUUCAAAGCAGGCAUUUGCUCGAAUACAUUAGCAUGGAAUAAUAGAAUAGGACGUGCGGUUCUAUUU
This 248-nucleotide ribosomal RNA is filed under the name uncultured Ascomycota. RNAcentral's name for it is "partial small subunit ribosomal RNA". It matches the Rfam family "Eukaryotic small subunit ribosomal RNA", at positions 587 to 842 of the family's 1831-position model. Lineage: Eukaryota; Fungi; Ascomycota. The record is from RNAcentral.